UACGUAGGGGGCUAGCGUUGUCCGGAAUCAUUGGGCGUAAAGCGCGUGUAGGCGGUUCGGUAAGUCCGCUGUGAAAGUCGGGGGCUCAACCCUCGGAAGCCGGUGGAUACUGUCGGGCUAGAGUACGGAAGAGGCGAGUGGAAUUCCUGGUGUAGCGGUGAAAUGCGCAGAUAUCAGGAGGAACACCGAUUGCGAAGGCAGCUCGCUGGGACGUUACUGACGCUGAGACGCGAAAGCGUGGGGAGCAAACAGG
Molecule: ribosomal RNA, 253 nt
Filed under: uncultured bacterium
Lineage: Bacteria
Description: partial 16S ribosomal RNA
Rfam family: Bacterial small subunit ribosomal RNA
Source: RNAcentral